UACAGAGGUCCCAAGCGUUGUUCGGAUUCACUGGGCGUAAAGGGUGCGUAGGUGGCCUGGAAGGUUUGAUGUGAAAGCUCGGAGCUUAACUCCGAAAUGGCAUUGAAUACUACUGGGCUUGAGGGUCGGAGGGGAGACUGGAAUUCUCGGUGUAGCAGUGAAAUGCGUAGAUAUCGUAAGGAAGACCAGUGGCGAAGGCGAGUCUCUGGACAGUUACCGACGCUGAGGCACGAAGGUCAGGGGAGCAAACGGG
RNAcentral lists this ribosomal RNA (253 nucleotides) under uncultured bacterium. RNAcentral's name for it is "partial 16S ribosomal RNA". It matches the Rfam family "Bacterial small subunit ribosomal RNA", at positions 524 to 776 of the family's 1533-position model. The record is from RNAcentral.